GGGUUGUGAGGUUAAGCGACUAAGCGUACACGGUGGAUGCCCUGGCAGUCAGAGGCGAUGAAGGACGUGCUAAUCUGCGAUAAGCGCCGGUAAGGUGAUAUGAACCGUUAUAACCGGCGAUUUCCGAAUGGGGAAACCCAGUGUGAUUCGUCACACUAUCAUUAACUGAAUCCAUAGGUUAAUGAGGCGAACCGGGGGAACUGAAACAUCUAAGUACCCCGAGGAAAAGAAAUCAACCGAGAUUCCCCCAGUAGCGGCGAGCGAACGGGGAGGAGCCCAGAGCCUGAAUCAGCAUGUGUGUUAGUGGAAGCGUCUGGAAAGGCGCGCGAUACAGGGUGACAGCCCCGUACACAAAAGCGCAUGUGCUGUGAGCUCGAUGAGUAGGGCGGGACACGUGGUAUCCUGUCUGAAUAUGGGGGGACCAUCCUCCAAGGCUAAAUACUCCUGACUGACCGAUAGUGAACCAGUACCGUGAGGGAAAGGCGAAAAGAACCCCGGCGAGGGGAGUGAAAAAGAACCUGAAACCGUGUACGUACAAGCAGUGGGAGCACAGGUUUACCUGUGUGACUGCGUACCUUUUGUAUAAUGGGUCAGCGACUUAUAUUCUGUAGCAAGGUUAACCGUAUAGGGGAGCCGGAGGGAAACCGAGUCUUAACCGGGCGUUAAGUUGCAGGGUAUAGACCCGAAACCCGGUGAUCUAGCCAUGGGCAGGUUGAAGGUUGGGUAACACUAACUGGAGGACCGAACCGACUAAUGUUGAAAAAUUAGCGGAUGACCUGUGGCUGGGGGUGAAAGGCCAAUCAAACCGGGAGAUAGCUGGUUCUCCCCGAAAGCUAUUUAGGUAGCGCCUCGUGAAUUCAUCUCCGGGGGUAGAGCACUGUUUCGGCUAGGGGGCCAUCCCGGCUUACCAACCCGAUGCAAACUGCGAAUACCGGAGAAUGUUAUCACGGGAGACACACGGCGGGUGCUAACGUCCGUCGUGAAGAGGGAAACAACCCAGACCGCCAGCUAAGGUCCCAAAGUCAUGGUUAAGUGGGAAACGAUGUGGGAAGGCCCAGACAGCCAGGAUGUUGGCUUAGAAGCAGCCAUCAUUUAAAGAAAGCGUAAUAGCUCACUGGUCGAGUCGGCCUGCGCGGAAGAUGUAACGGGGCUAAACCAUGCACCGAAGCUGCGGCAGCGAACGUAUCACCCAAGACAACUUUACGGAGUUGACGAUUGACGGAGCGAAGCGACGUCAAAGCGUUCAUUAAAGUCGAGUUGGCUUAGGGAUACGUUCGUUGGGUAGGGGAGCGUUCUGUAAGCCUGUGAAGGUGUGUCGUGAGGCAUGCUGGAGGUAUCAGAAGUGCGAAUGCUGACAUAAGUAACGAUAAAGCGGGUGAAAAGCCCGCUCGCCGGAAGACCAAGGGUUCCUGUCCAACGUUAAUCGGGGCAGGGUGAGUCGACCCCUAAGGCGAGGCCGAAAGGCGUAGUCGAUGGGAAACGGGUUAAUAUUCCCGUACUUGGUGUUACUGCGAAGGGGGGACGGAGAAGGCUAUGUUGGCCGGGCGACGGUUGUCCCGGUUUAAGCGUGUAGGUGUGUGUUCCAGGUAAAUCCGGUUCACUUUAACACUGAGGCGUGACGACGAGGCACUACGGUGCUGAAGCAACAAAUGCCCUGCUUCCAGGAAAAGCCUCUAAGCAUCAGGUAACACGAAAUCGUACCCCAAACCGACACAGGUGGUCAGGUAGAGAAUACCAAGGCGCUUGAGAGAACUCGGGUGAAGGAACUAGGCAAAAUGGUGCCGUAACUUCGGGAGAAGGCACGCUGACACGUAGGUGAAGUGAUUUACUCAUGGAGCUGAAGUCAGUCGAAGAUACCAGCUGGCUGCAACUGUUUAUUAAAAACACAGCACUGUGCAAACACGAAAGUGGACGUAUACGGUGUGACGCCUGCCCGGUGCCGGAAGGUUAAUUGAUGGGGUCAGCGCAAGCGAAGCUCCUGAUCGAAGCCCCGGUAAACGGCGGCCGUAACUAUAACGGUCCUAAGGUAGCGAAAUUCCUUGUCGGGUAAGUUCCGACCUGCACGAAUGGCGUAAUGAUGGCCAGGCUGUCUCCACCCGAGACUCAGUGAAAUUGAACUCGCUGUGAAGAUGCAGUGUACCCGCGGCAAGACGGAAAGACCCCGUGAACCUUUACUAUAGCUUGACACUGAACAUUGAGCCUUGAUGUGUAGGAUAGGUGGGAGGCUUUGAAGUGUGGACGCCAGUCUGCAUGGAGCCGACCUUGAAAUACCACCCUUUAAUGUUUGAUGUUCUAACGUGGACCCGUAAUCCGGGUUGCGGACAGUGUCUGGUGGGUAGUUUGACUGGGGCGGUCUCCUCCUAAAGAGUAACGGAGGAGCACGAAGGUUGGCUAAUCCUGGUCGGACAUCAGGAGGUUAGUGCAAUGGCAUAAGCCAGCUUGACUGCGAGCGUGACGGCGCGAGCAGGUGCGAAAGCAGGUCAUAGUGAUCCGGUGGUUCUGAAUGGAAGGGCCAUCGCUCAACGGAUAAAAGGUACUCCGGGGAUAACAGGCUGAUACCGCCCAAGAGUUCAUAUCGACGGCGGUGUUUGGCACCUCGAUGUCGGCUCAUCACAUCCUGGGGCUGAAGUAGGUCCCAAGGGUAUGGCUGUUCGCCAUUUAAAGUGGUACGCGAGCUGGGUUUAGAACGUCGUGAGACAGUUCGGUCCCUAUCUGCCGUGGGCGCUGGAGAACUGAGGGGGGCUGCUCCUAGUACGAGAGGACCGGAGUGGACGCAUCACUGGUGUUCGGGUUGUCAUGCCAAUGGCACUGCCCGGUAGCUAAAUGCGGAAGAGAUAAGUGCUGAAAGCAUCUAAGCACGAAACUUGCCCCGAGAUGAGUUCUCCCUGAGACUUAGAGUCUCCUGAAGGAACGUUGAAGACGACGACGUUGAUAGGCCGGGUGUGUAAGCGCAGCGAUGCGUUGAGCUAACCGGUACUAAUGAACCGUGAGGCUUAACCUUACAACGCCGAAG
RNAcentral lists this ribosomal RNA (3013 nucleotides) under Salmonella enterica subsp. enterica serovar Typhimurium str. USDA-ARS-USMARC-1898. RNAcentral's name for it is "bacterial LSU rRNA". It matches the Rfam family "Bacterial large subunit ribosomal RNA". The record is from RNAcentral. Lineage: Bacteria; Pseudomonadati; Pseudomonadota; Gammaproteobacteria; Enterobacterales; Enterobacteriaceae.